This 496-nucleotide ribosomal RNA is filed under the name uncultured bacterium. RNAcentral's name for it is "partial 16S ribosomal RNA". It matches the Rfam family "Bacterial small subunit ribosomal RNA", at positions 28 to 506 of the family's 1533-position model. The record is from RNAcentral.
GAUGAACGCUGGCGGCGUGCCUAAUACAUGCAAGUCGAGCGAACAGAUAAGGAGCUUGCUCCUUUGACGUUAGCGGCGGACGGGUGAGUAACACGUGGGUAACCUACCUAUAAGACUGGGAUAACUUCGGGAAACCGGAGCUAAUACCGGAUAACAUUUGGAACCGCAUGGUUCUAAAGUGAAAGAUGGUUUUGCUAUCACUUAUAGAUGGACCCGCGCCGUAUUAGCUAGUUGGUAAGGUAACGGCUUACCAAGGCGACGAUACGUAGCCGACCUGAGAGGGUGUGCGGCCACACAGGAGACGAGAGACGCGGCCGAGACUCAUGGGGGGGAGCAGUGGGGGAAAUUUCCCAAAGGGGGCAAGACCGAGGCGGAAAAGCGCCGCGAGAGAUAUGAGGGUUUGCGUCGCAAAAAUCUCUUUUAAGAGGAAAAAAAAAGUGUAAAAAUAACUGCGCGCCUUUUGAGGACCCAAACAAAAAACCCCACGUAAAAAUGC